GACGUAGGGCGCAAGCGUUGUCCGGAUUUAUUGGGCGUAAAGAGCUCGUAGGCGGCCUGUCGCGUCGACCGUGAAAACCCGCAGCUCAACUCCGGAUCUGCGGUGGGUACGGGCAGACUAGAGUGAUGUAGGGGAGACUGGAAUUCCUGGUGUAGCGGUGAAAUGCGCAGAUAUCAGGAGGAACACCGAUGGCGAAGGCAGGUCUCUGGGCAUUAACUGACGCUGAGGAGCGAAAGCAUGGGGAGCGAACAGG
This 253-nucleotide ribosomal RNA is filed under the name uncultured bacterium. RNAcentral's name for it is "partial 16S ribosomal RNA". It matches the Rfam family "Bacterial small subunit ribosomal RNA", at positions 524 to 776 of the family's 1533-position model. The record is from RNAcentral.